GAGGUAGAUCGGUCUGAGGUGUAAGCACAGCAAUGUGUUCAGCUGACAGAUACGAAUCGGUCGAGGACUUCUCCU
This 75-nucleotide ribosomal RNA is filed under the name Marininema halotolerans. RNAcentral describes it as "23S rRNA. Bacterial LSU". Lineage: Bacteria; Bacillati; Bacillota; Bacilli; Caryophanales; Thermoactinomycetaceae. The record is from RNAcentral.